GUAGGUGGCAAGCGUUGUCCGGAAUUAUUGGGCGUCAAGCGCGCGCAGGCGGUUCUUUAAGUCUGAUGUGAAAGCCCACGGCUCAACCGUGGAGGGUCAUUGGAAACUGGAGAACUUGAGUACAGAAGAGGAAAGCGGAAUUCCACGUGUAGCGGUGAAAUGCGUAGAGAUGUGGAGGAACACCAGUGGCGAAGGCGGCUUUCUGGUCUGUAACUGACGCUGAGGCGCGAAAGCGUGGGGGAGCAAACAGGAUUAGAUACCCUGGUAGUCCACGCCGUAAACGAUGAGUGCUAAGUGUUAGGGGGUUUCCGCCCCUUAGUGCUGCAGCUAACGCAUUAAGCACUCCGCCUGGGAGUACGGCCGCAAGGCUG
RNAcentral lists this ribosomal RNA (371 nucleotides) under uncultured organism. RNAcentral's name for it is "partial 16S ribosomal RNA". It matches the Rfam family "Bacterial small subunit ribosomal RNA", at positions 527 to 896 of the family's 1533-position model. The record is from RNAcentral.